GUGCUUGCUUCAGUGGCACAUAUACUAAAAUUGGAAUGAUACGGGAAGAUUAGCAGGGCCCCUGCACAAGGAUGACAUGCAAAUUUGUGAAGCAUUCCGUAUUUUU
RNAcentral lists this small nuclear RNA (106 nucleotides) under Bos grunniens (domestic yak). Lineage: Eukaryota; Metazoa; Chordata; Mammalia; Artiodactyla; Bovidae. The record is from RNAcentral.